GUUGACCUCGAAUCAGGUAGGAAUACCCGCUGAACUUAAGCAUAUCAAUAAGCGGAGGA
This 59-nucleotide ribosomal RNA is filed under the name Erysiphe pisi. Its description in RNAcentral is "partial 28S ribosomal RNA". It matches the Rfam family "Eukaryotic large subunit ribosomal RNA", at positions 1 to 57 of the family's 3401-position model. The record is from RNAcentral. Lineage: Eukaryota; Fungi; Ascomycota; Leotiomycetes; Helotiales; Erysiphaceae. RNAcentral also lists the same sequence under 11 other names.